CAGACCGCNGGGGCGGCCGUCCCUNCAGUCCCUCGCUUGUUCGCGCCUUCGGGCCUUAGAGNGGCGCGCGNUGCCUGUGCCAUAUACCCGGUCCCUUGGGAAGCAGACGAGACCCACACGACAGUCCGCCCCCGCCCGCCUUGUCGGGCGNGGGGCGGCCGNGGCGCGGGNGUCGCGCGCCCCCGGACAAAGCGGCCGUCAGGCCCUCGUCCCGGUGGGGCUCCNGANGUCCCGNGAGCGCUCUGGGAUGCGGCGGAUGCCGCGGGNUUCGGGGACAUUUUUCCCNGACCCGGACCUCGGUCGGUUGUAGAGCCGCCCUUGUAGAGAAGAAGGNGGGCACGCUCGUNGGAGCCCCUUCCGCCCCCCGGGGGCGNGCGGGCGCCCCGGCGGCGGCGCCGGCGU
RNAcentral lists this unclassified non-coding RNA (402 nucleotides) under Tillandsia deppeana. Its description in RNAcentral is "partial external transcribed spacer". Lineage: Eukaryota; Viridiplantae; Streptophyta; Magnoliopsida; Poales; Bromeliaceae. The record is from RNAcentral.